AUGAACGCUGGCGGCGUGCCUAAUACAUGCAAGUCGAGCGAACAGACGAGGAGCUUGCUCCUCUGACGUUAGCGGCGGACGGGUGAGUAACACGUGGAUAACCUACCUAUAAGACUGGGAUAACUUCGGGAAACCGGAGCUAAUACCGGAUAAUAUAUUGAACCGCAUGGUUCAAUAGUGAAAGACGGUUUUGCUGUCACUUAUAGAUGGAUCCGCGCCGCAUUAGCUAGUUGGUAAGGUAACGGCUUACCAAGGCGACGAUGCGUAGCCGACCUGAGAGGGUGAUCGGCCACACUGGAACUGGGACACGGUCCAGACUCCUACGGGAGGCAGCAGUAGGGAAUCUUCCGCAAUGGGCGAAAGCCUGACGGAGCAACGCCGCGUGAGUGAUGAAGGGCUUCGGAUCGUAAAACUCUGUUAUUAGGGAAGAACAAAUGUGUAAGUAACUAUGCACGUCUUGACGGUACCUAAUCAGAAAGCCACGGCUAACUACGU
This 495-nucleotide ribosomal RNA is filed under the name uncultured bacterium. Its description in RNAcentral is "partial 16S ribosomal RNA". It matches the Rfam family "Bacterial small subunit ribosomal RNA", at positions 29 to 506 of the family's 1533-position model. The record is from RNAcentral.